GACGAACGCUGGCGGCGUGCUUAACACAUGUCAGUCGAACGGAAAGGCCCUGCUUUUGUGGGGUGCUCGAGUGGCGAACGGGUGAGUAAAACGUGAGUAACCUGCCCUUGACUUUGGGAUAACUUCAGGAAACUGGGGCUAAUACCGGAUAGGAGCUCCUGCUGCAUGGUGGGGGUUGGAAAGUUUCGGCGGUUGGGGAUGGACUCGCGGCUUAUCAGCUUGUUGGUGGGGUAGUGGCUUACCAAGGCUUUGACGGGUAGCCGGCCUGAGAGGGUGACCGGCCACAUUGGGACUGAGAUACGGCCCAGACUCCUACGGGAGGCAGCAGUCGGGAAUAUUGCACAAUGGGCGGAAGCCUGAUGCAGCAACGCCGCGUGCGGGAUGACGGCCUUCGGGUUGUAAACCGCUUUCGCCUGUGACGAAGCGUGAGUGACGGUAAUGGGUAAAGAAGCACCGGCUAACUACGUG
This 468-nucleotide ribosomal RNA is filed under the name uncultured bacterium. RNAcentral describes it as "partial 16S ribosomal RNA". It matches the Rfam family "Bacterial small subunit ribosomal RNA", at positions 28 to 507 of the family's 1533-position model. The record is from RNAcentral.